AUGGCUUUUCUCCUCCCGUCUUCUUCAAUUCAAAACUGUUUGUGAUGAUUACUCAGCGAUAUGCGAUUAAAAGCUUCAAAUUUGCAGAAACCCAUCUUCUUCAGCUCCUACUCUGCCCAUGAUAUUCUCAGAGCGUCUUUCAUUGAGAAGUUUCUGGUCUCCAGAAUCCUUUUUGUGCACUUAAGAUUCCUUCUUGGUGUUUGGAGAAAGUUAAGUGAACAUCCCAGUGCAGUGACUUCAACAUGUUCUCAACUUCUCUUAUCACAUUUGAUUCGUCACGAACUAUUAGUUUACCUCCUGGUCUUACUAUUCUAUCCACUUCUGCCAUUACUGGAACAAGAUUGCACCUUUCAAAACAAAACAAAACAAGAGACUUAUUGUUGAUGAAACGUUACCAAAAGGUGUGGAUAUUAUGAGUUACGCUUAUACCUUGUUCUCAACUUUGAGAAAAGAUGAUCUGCAUGUAAGAGAUCAUAGCUUCGAGGGUAUGUGCUAAAUGAUUCACACCAGUCAUGAUAUAUUCCGAAUAGGCCUCUCUCGUAGAUUAUCGGUAGUGUAUCUGGUGAAUUUAUGUUUACUACAUUCAUUACCCACACCUGUAGGUCCUUCAGAGCUGCUGCAAACCUGCAUUUUUACGUAGUUAGUAAAAAAAGGUUUAGUUUUGUGUUCAUAAUCUGUAGUGAAAUCUCGAGGAGCUGGUUUCCCAUAUAUCCCCAUUUGAGAGCUGUUUAACCAGUAAGGCGGUGUUUGAAGCCGACGGGGCCAAUUCACGGGCCACUUGCUUCCUCUCUCGACCACAUUGGUUUCUGGUAGAUUGCAGCACCAAUACCAUUGAGUUUAUCCUUGUUGAUUGUCACAAGUUCCCAGCACAAGGAUUUUGUCAACGCGGACAUUUCUACAUCACUCAAAACAUCUCAGGUUCAGUGAAACAAACAAAAGAAGGAGGAACUCUAGCCUAAGCAUCCGAUUAAGUUCCAGAAGAAGCAUACCACCCUCAUUAUGCCAUGGGACUCUACAACGUGCACAGUGGAUAAGAUCAAACACUCUGCUCGGGAAUGGCAGUCGCUUAGAGCCCAUAACUGCUGAGAUGGCUGGAAUCUUUCUUUCAAGAGCAAACUGGACUUGAGCCUCGUGUUCAUCUUUUGGUGCAAGAGACAUUGCUAUAACAUCUCUUUCAAAGAGGAAACCGCCAAAGCUCGCCACUCCACAUCCAACAUCCAAUAUGACCCGAUUUUAACACUAUACUGAAAUCAAGAAAUGAGUGUUCACCUGCUGAAGAAAAUCGAUAUAAUGAAGAGCUCCAUGGAUGAACUGUGUUCCACCACCAGGAAACGUCAAGAACUCGCCAGUGACCUUCACCCAGUUCUGAUGUCCUUUUACCUCAGCUAGCUUUGUGUGUGGGACAUUGUGGUACCAUAUCUACUAGAUCACAUGCCACUUGAUGGCCUCCUUAUAACCUUCUGGGAGGGGGACGAGACACGUUGGUGGGUCUUCUGGGCAAUGUCUCUCUCUGUGCUCAAAAUGUCUUCUACUCCUUAGUUUCAUUAUAGCUUCUUCGUUGUCUAGGCAUGGUAUAUAGUCAGUUCCUGCAGUUGCAUUGCACAGCACCCAUGCAUUUCCAUCCAUAAUCCUCUCUACGGUGUUUGAUUCAGAUGUCUGUCUUUGUUUCUCGUCCUUAGAUUCUGUUGCCUGACUCUUCCAUGACUUCUGUGAUUCUGCAGAUUCUUUCGGUAUUCCAGAGCCAAAACCACUGGCUUCUGAACCCUGUUCGUGUUUUUUCUCAUCCUUCCGCUCUUCUUGUUGCUCCAUGUUUUCGUCCUUUGAUGUGCUCUCUUCUUCUUUGUUUCCGCUUUCUUCCUCUGCUGUGGUAUGUUCUUCCUGUUGGCCAUUCUCAUCUUUCAUGCUCUUCUCUCCCUUCCCGUUUUCUUCACUAGCUGUUGUCUUCUCCUCGUUUUGUUGUCCGGUUUCCUCAUUCCCUGAGUUUUGUUCCUCUGGUUGUCCGUUUUCUUCAUUCUUUGAGGUCUCUGAUGUUUCCCCCUGCCCCGUUUCCAUAGGUUGUUCUUGUUUGGUCGCAUCUGUGAAUGUCACAUCCGUAUUCGAAUCCUGUUCUUGCCCUUGUUUAUUUCCUUGUUCCACAUCCGGCUGUUCCUUCCCUUGUCCCUGCUCUUGCCCUUGAGUCCCUUUGGGCUGAGUCCCAGCGUCCUCGUCCCGCUGUUGUUUCUGUUCCUUUUCAAACUCCUUGACGACUUUUUUCAUCUGACCCUCCUCACUCUCUUGCACCGUCUGGUUCUCCUUGCCGUUAUCUUUCUCUUUUUCCUCGGAAAUUUUGUCAUCGUUGUUUUGUUGGGUCUCUUGUGUUUGAGUCUUUGAGCUCGUCGUUUCACUCUUCUCUUUCGCUGACUUCCGUUGCUCGUCUUCAGACUUUACGGCAUCGUCUGGAAGCUUUCCCGGAUUGUCUUCAAAUGCCUGUUGCUCAUCAGACUCUUGUUUCGUGGGUUCGGGCUCAUCAUUACCGUUUGAAGAGGCAGACACAUCACUCCUCUCUGUCUCUGCGACAGCCGCUCGAGUGGAGCCUUGUGUGAUCUGCGGUGGAAUAACGGAAUUGGAAGAAAGCAUCCACACCCCGAAGACACACAGAGCCACAAAGAUGACCAUUGUAAUGGUCGACGCAUAGGACGACGUCGAAGUGCGUUUGUUGCCACGUCCCCUCCCGAAGGCCAUCUUUACGGUCUUGCGUAUAGUACUAGUUAUGGAGAAAGAAGAAGAAGAAAAAUGAAGGAGUAAAAUGGGAGUUGAAGGAAGUAAAAAUAGAAGAAAAAGAAGAGAAAGAGAGGUUGUGAAGAGACAAGACUGGAUCAAAGAUCCUAUAGAGUCGGAUAUGGGACUUUCAAUUUCGUGUCUCUAAAUUUAGUUAUGGUCUCUGUGUUUCAUAUUUUGUUGUCCAUGAAAAAUUAGUGCCAUGUAAUCCAAUGUUAACUUGUAACGCCUAGUCAAGGAUAUAUUAAACAUGGCAAGCUUGUGCUUUUUUGGUAUAAUGUAUUCGAAGACUGUUUAAUUUGAAUUUUGAUUGAUUAAGUAUGUUGAUUUCAAUUUGAGUGUAUUUUUUGGUUGUUAUGGUAUUAUUUAUAAAAACAUGUUUG
This 3140-nucleotide long non-coding RNA is filed under the name Arabidopsis thaliana (thale cress). RNAcentral describes it as "potential natural antisense gene, locus overlaps with AT3G51070 (AT3G51075)". The record is from RNAcentral. Lineage: Eukaryota; Viridiplantae; Streptophyta; Magnoliopsida; Brassicales; Brassicaceae.